UACGUAGGGGGCAAGCGUUGUCCGGAAUCAUUGGGCGUAAAGCGCGUGUAGGCGGCCUUGUAAGUCCGUUCUGAAAGCCCGGGGCUCAACCCCGGGAGGCGGAUGGAUACUGCAAGGCUCGAGUCCGGAAGAGGCGAGUGGAAUUCCCGGUGUAGCGGUGAAAUGCGCAGAUAUCGGGAGGAACACCGGUGGCGAAGGCGGAUCUCUGGGCCUGUCCUGACGCUCAGGCGCGAAAGCUAGGGGAGCAAACAGG
Molecule: ribosomal RNA, 253 nt
Filed under: uncultured bacterium
Lineage: Bacteria
Description: partial 16S ribosomal RNA
Rfam family: Bacterial small subunit ribosomal RNA
Source: RNAcentral